UACAGAGGGGGCUAGCGUUGUUCGGAAUUACUGGGUGUAAAGGGUGCGCAGGUGGUUAGUUAAGUCUGAUGUGAAAUCCCUGGGCUCAACUCAGGAACUGCAUUGGAAACUGGCUAGCUUUGAGUACCGGAGAGGGAAGCGGAAUUCCUGGUGUAGCGGUGAAAUGCGUAGAUACCAGGAGGAACACCGGUGGCGAAGGCGGCGUUCUGGACUGCAACUGACACUGAGGAACGAAAGCCAGGGGAGCAAACGGG
This 254-nucleotide ribosomal RNA is filed under the name uncultured bacterium. Its description in RNAcentral is "partial 16S ribosomal RNA". It matches the Rfam family "Bacterial small subunit ribosomal RNA", at positions 524 to 776 of the family's 1533-position model. The record is from RNAcentral.